Esox lucius (northern pike) is the source of this 640-nucleotide long non-coding RNA. The record is from Ensembl. NCBI's taxonomy places the organism in Eukaryota, Metazoa, Chordata, Actinopteri, Esociformes, Esocidae.
GCCGUCACAAGGGCAUUUCAAGCACAUAGCAGGGAAAGGGUUUGGAGAGAGAAGUAAAGGAAGAGUGAGAGAGAGAUGAGAGAGAGAGAGGGCAGGAGAUUGUGGGCGAUAGGCUACAUCCACAACAGAAGAUGGAGAGGGAAAAGGUCAAACAUGGUUGGAGGACUGUAGCGGAUCUUGGUCGUAUUUCAGAGUCAUGGGGGGUGACAGUCUAAAGAAUGAUUCUUCUUAACUGGAAGGGACAUACACCAUCCAGCUCUUCUUUUAGCCACUGGCUUAAGUACUAUAUAGACCUCACUCUCUGGCCUGUGUGCUCAAGGAUUUAGAUAAAGGCACACAUGGUCACUGGGACAUGGUAUGCAGAUAACUGGCCUCUGGAAAGCCCCCUGAAAGUUCGAGUCCUGCCUCCUAAAUUGAUCUGUUUGUAACAGAACUAUGUAACCAAUGUAUUGUAUUUCAUUUUCAAAAUGCACUGCACCACUGUCUGUUUUAGUUGUCUUGUAAUGUGUGUGUUAUGAUCACUAGAAUUAAUCAGACAAAAACUGGAAGAACACAUGCUGAUACAGGAAGGUACAGAUAAGAACUGUUCAUUUUCAGUCAGUGUUGCACAAGGUUUUUAAACGUUUCGCUCUGUUGUCAG